UACGGAGGGGGCUAGCGUUGUUCGGAAUUACUGGGCGUAAAGCGCACGUAGGCGGCUUUGUAAGUUAGAGGUGAAAGCCCGGGGCUCAACUCCGGAAUUGCCUUUAAGACUGCAUCGCUAGAACGUCGGAGAGGUAAGUGGAAUUCCGAGUGUAGGGGUGAAAUUCGUAGAUAUUCGGAAGAACACCAGUGGCGAAGGCGACUUACUGGACGACUGUUGACGCUGAGGUGCGAAAGCGUGGGGAGCAAACAGG
RNAcentral lists this ribosomal RNA (253 nucleotides) under uncultured bacterium. Its description in RNAcentral is "partial 16S ribosomal RNA". It matches the Rfam family "Bacterial small subunit ribosomal RNA", at positions 524 to 776 of the family's 1533-position model. The record is from RNAcentral.